AAGCCCGAAGGCGCAAUGAAAGUGAACCGUAGGCGGGAUCCCAAGUUUUCGCGCGAGAGCGCGACGGGGCGCACCGCCGGCCCGUCUCGUUUGGUCGGCCCUUCGUUAUUUUCUUUCGUUCCCGCCCCUCUCCCUCGGGAAGGGGCGGUUCGGGGGAAAUGUUGGGUCGACGGAGGCGGAGCGAGAGCGUACACGUUAGGACCCGAAAGACGGUGAACUAUUCCCGGACAGGACGAAGCCGGAGGAAACUCCGGUGGAGGUCCGUAGCGAUUCUGACGUGCAAAUCGAUCGUCGGAUCCGGGUAUAGGGGCGAAAGACUAAUCGAACCGUCUA
RNAcentral lists this ribosomal RNA (333 nucleotides) under Occiperipatoides sp. DNA104661. Its description in RNAcentral is "eukaryotic LSU rRNA". It matches the Rfam family "Eukaryotic large subunit ribosomal RNA", at positions 704 to 946 of the family's 3401-position model. The record is from RNAcentral. Lineage: Eukaryota; Metazoa; Onychophora; Udeonychophora; Euonychophora; Peripatopsidae.